RNAcentral lists this long non-coding RNA (275 nucleotides) under Lathyrus oleraceus (garden pea). RNAcentral's name for it is "Pisum sativum (pea) long non-coding RNA (PSAT_LNC015525)". Lineage: Eukaryota; Viridiplantae; Streptophyta; Magnoliopsida; Fabales; Fabaceae. The record is from RNAcentral.
GAUGCUGAUGUAAGUCCAGUGAUUGGCGUUCAGGCUCCACGUUUGCCUUUUUGUGUGUGUUUUGGUUCGGAUGCUGAUGUAAGUCCAGUGAUUGGCAUUCAGGCUCCACGUUUGCCUUUUUGUGUGUGUUUUGGUUCGGAUGCUGAUGUAAGUCCAGUGAUUGGCAUUCAGGCUCCACGUUUGCCUUUGCCUGUGUUUGUUUGUGUGCGUGUCAGCCGAGCUACGAAUGCUCUGAUUCUCCUUCGUCCAAGGAGAUACGUAUGCAUAGGAUGCGA